This 102-nucleotide Y RNA is filed under the name Propithecus coquereli (Coquerel's sifaka). RNAcentral describes it as "Y RNA (ENSPCOG00000004544.1)". It matches the Rfam family "Y RNA". Rfam says of the family: Y RNAs are components of the Ro ribonucleoprotein particle (Ro RNP), in association with Ro60 and La proteins. The record is from Rfam by way of RNAcentral. Lineage: Eukaryota; Metazoa; Chordata; Mammalia; Primates; Indriidae.
GGUUGAUCUGAGUGCAGUGGUGUUUACAACUAAUUGAGCACAACCACUUACAGAUUCCUUUGUUCCUUCUCCACUCCCACUGCUUCACUUGACCAGCCUUAA